UUCGAUGUGUUCGGAAGUUUUCAAUGGAAUGUUGCAGCUUAUUUUGCUCUCAAUUAUUUCUUUAAAAGUUUGCCAUUUGGUGGUUUUAUUGCAUAGUGUUUCUGGAUUGCUAUAAAGUAUUGGUUUGUAUCUGUAUUGAAUUAUUAUGGGUGUAUGAUCGAAGCUAAGCUCGAGGUUGGGUGUUAUUUUUAGUUUAUUUGUGUUUAGUCCCCUUGUAACUGCAAAGUCCAGAAGAUCUGGUUUUUUGUUCAGGUCAGUCGGCCAAUGUGUCGGUGUUCCUGUGGAUAAUAUAUUGAGGUUAUUAUUUCUAAUGUAUUUUUCCAGUGUUCUGCCCCGAGGUGUAGUGUUUCUUGAUCCCCAUAGCGUGUGCUUUGAGUUGUAGUCUCCCGCUGCGAUGUACUUGUCCCCUAGGUCCUGGAAGUAUUCUUCCCACAUUUGUGAUGUUAUUUUGUGUCGCGGAGGCAUAUAUACUGCUGACAACUGGAAGUAGUU
This 492-nucleotide unclassified non-coding RNA is filed under the name Bombus terrestris (buff-tailed bumblebee). RNAcentral describes it as "misc RNA ENSBTSG00005026220.1". The record is from RNAcentral. Lineage: Eukaryota; Metazoa; Arthropoda; Insecta; Hymenoptera; Apidae.